RNAcentral lists this long non-coding RNA (985 nucleotides) under Homo sapiens (human). Its description in RNAcentral is "HSALNT0319197". Lineage: Eukaryota; Metazoa; Chordata; Mammalia; Primates; Hominidae. The record is from RNAcentral.
UGGAGCUGGAGCUUGGGCCUCUGAAGAGUGGAUGCCGCUUGCUAGUGCUGAUGUCUCUGAGCUCAAAGGAGUCUGAGGCUCAGACUCUGAGAAGCCUGGUGUCCACAUUUUGGAGGGCAGUGCAACCAAGCUGGUUCUGAAGUGUUUGGGAGAACUGUCACCUGGAUUCUUCCACUGCAAUGGGAAGGAACUGCCACUGCCAGAGUGAAGAAGCGGUGUUGGGUGACACUCACAGGACUAGGACGCGGACAGGAAAGAGAGGAUAAGGUGAGAUUCCUUCACAAAUGGUGGCUCCAACUGGAAUUCAUUGUCCCAAAUUCUGAGAACUCCUGAGGAAAGAUCCAAAAGUAAUAUGGCUCAAGAUUUUUGAACUGCCCAGGCUCUACUCAGGCUCUUGGACAUCUUGCCCAUCUCAAAGGUGUCUGUUCCCCAGCCCUGUCUUUGACUGGUCUCAUUGCUGGGUGGCAUCUUUAACAGAGAGUGUGCAAGAGCCAUUGGCAGCAAUCUCCUGUGUGGUUGGAGCCUAGCAGUUUACAAGGAGCUUCCCUACACAUUGUAUCACAAUGACCUUGCCAGGUCUCUCCUGCCUACUGCCGGCCCUACCCACAAGAUGUGAACUUCAGAGCCUUCUUGCAACUGCUUCUUGGCUAUUUUCACCCUCUAACCCUCUGGAAGAAGAAUGAGGACUAUUAUGAAGGCAAAAGCAUAAAAGGGGAAAAGAUUAGCCUCCAGAGUAGGAAGAUUGGGUUGUUGGAAGCCAGCACAAGUCUUCCCCUGAAAGAGUUAAUUCGCCUCCAAUGGGGGUAGGGACUGACCUGGGAGGGGCCUCAGCCUACAUAGGACAGGCCUAAAGGCCCCAUUGGGGCUGAAGGUGACACUGGGUCAGAUCCCUAGGAUUCUGCAACUUGAGGUGGGAGUGUCUAUAAGCUGGAAACAAAAGUUUCAAAAAAAAAAAAAAAGCUCAUUUUGUUUUCAAUUCGUUUUA